GAUGAACGCUAGCUACAGGCUUAACACAUGCAAGUCGAGGGGAAACGAUGAGAGAGCUUGCUCUCUUAGGCGUCGACCGGCGCACGGGUGAGUAACGCGUAUCCAACCUACCCCUUACAGGGGGAUAACCUUGCGAAAGUAAGACUAAUACCCCAUGGCAUUUUAUGGUGGCAUCAUUAUAGGAUUAAAGAUUUAUUGGUAAUGGAUGGGGAUGCGUCUGAUUAGCUUGUUGGCGGGGUAACGGCCCACCAAGGCAACGAUCAGUAGGGGUUCUGAGAGGAAGGUCCCCCACAUUGGAACUGAGACACGGUCCAAACUCCUACGGGAGGCAGCAGUGAGGAAUAUUGGUCAAUGGGCGAGAGCUUGAACCAGCCAAGUAGCGUGCAGGAUGACGGCCCUAUGGGUUGUAAACUGCUUUUAUAGGGGAAUAAAGUGAGCUACGUGUAGUUUAUUGCAUGUACCCUAUGAAUAAGAACCGGCUAAUUCCGUG
This 490-nucleotide ribosomal RNA is filed under the name uncultured bacterium. RNAcentral's name for it is "partial 16S ribosomal RNA". It matches the Rfam family "Bacterial small subunit ribosomal RNA", at positions 28 to 507 of the family's 1533-position model. The record is from RNAcentral.